AAUCACCCAAAAUAGAAAUCCAAAUCAGAGAGGAGAACUCUUUGAAUCAGAAAAUUCCAAUACCCUAAACCCUCCCCCACUCCUCAACAGCAGUGAUUUCCUAUUCGAGAAACUUCAUCCGACUCAACUUUUCGAUCCGUCUUUGUCGACUCCUUUUCAACUCUCAACCACAGAUUUCAAAUGUUUUGGUAUAGUAUCUUGGCCAUUUUUAUGGAGUUAUAUUUUUUAGGAAAAUGUGUAAUUAGUAUUUGCUUGAUUCUUUAUAUUUCAAGGUUUUUUAUGUCGAAGAUUGAACAAUGAAUUGCUUGGGAGAAAUAAUAUUACUUCGGUAUAUUUUGUGGAAUUGAAGCGGAGGCAUUUCUUUGUUUUUAAACUAAAAAUGUUAUAAGUAUUUGGAUUUGAAUAUAGUAGCUUCAAAUUGUUGAAAUGCUGUGUCUAUGUUCCGUAUCAUUAAUUGAUGAAAUUAUUUUUGAUUUUGAACUUCAACUGCUGGUUUUUUAAGUUGCUGAACAUGGUGUCCCAGCUUACUG
RNAcentral lists this long non-coding RNA (530 nucleotides) under Olea europaea (common olive). Its description in RNAcentral is "long non-coding RNA (OEUR_LNC005182)". The record is from RNAcentral. Lineage: Eukaryota; Viridiplantae; Streptophyta; Magnoliopsida; Lamiales; Oleaceae.